This 1558-nucleotide ribosomal RNA is filed under the name marine sediment metagenome. RNAcentral's name for it is "bacterial LSU rRNA". It matches the Rfam family "Bacterial large subunit ribosomal RNA", at positions 651 to 2304 of the family's 2925-position model. The record is from RNAcentral.
GCCUUUCGGGCCACAGCCAGAGGGAAACCGAGUCUUAAUAGGGCGACAAGUCGUAAGUGGUAGACGCGAAACUGCGUGAUCUACUCAUGGGCAGGUUGAAGCGCGGGUUAAACUGCGUGGAGGACCGAACCCACUUGGGUUGAAAACCGAGGGGAUGACCUGUGAGGAGGAGUGAAAGUCUAAUCCAACGCAGAGAUAGCUCGUUCUCUCCGAAAUAUCUUUAGGGAUAGCCUCGUGCCACUACGUCUCGGGGGUAGAGAUACUGAAUCGGAUGAGGGCCCUUUCCGGGGUACCUCACUGAACCAAACUCCGAAUACCGAGACGACUAUCACGGGAGUCAGUCCGCGUGGGAUAAGCUGCGUGGUCGAGAGGGAAACAACCCAGAUCGUCGGCUAAGGUCCCGAAGUUAUGCUUAGUCACUAAGGAAGUUGAAUUGCAGUGACAGCCAGGAUGUUGGCUUAGAAGCAGCCACCAUUUAAACAUAGCGUAACAGCUGACUCAUCGAGUGACGUUGCGCCGAAAAUGAUUGGCGAUCAAGCGGUAUACCGAAGCCAUGGAUGUCUUCGGACAUGGUAGAAGAGCGUAGUCAGGCCAUAGAAGCUUUCCUGUAAAGGGAGGUGGAGGGCUGACUAGUGAGAAUGCAGACAUGAGUAGCGAUAAACAAAGUGAGAAUCUUUGUCUCCGUAAACCCAAGGUUUCCUGGGCCAGGCUCGUCCCCCCAGGGUUAGUCGGGACCUAAGGCGAGGCCGAAAGGCGUAGUCGAUGGAUAACAGGUUAAUAUUCCUGUACCAAGGUACAAUAUGGGACGCAUGAUGAAGGAUGGCACACACUAUGAUAUGUGAUUCUAGGCUUCGGCCGAAAUACGCCAUUUGGAUUUGUGCCGAGAAAACCGUACCGGCCCGUACCGUAUACCGACACAGGUAGGUGAGUCGAAUAGACUAAGGAGCGCGAGAGAAAUCUCUCCAAGGAACUCGGCAAAUUAGCCCCGUAACCUCGGGAGAAGGGGUGCCCACUUCGGUGGGCCACAGUAAAUUGGGACUGGCGACUGUUUACCAAAAACACAGCUCUCUGCUAAGUCGUGAAGACGACGUAUAGGGAGUGACACGUGACCAAUGCGGAAAGAUUAAGGUGACUUGUUAGCACUUGAUGCGAAGCUCGGAGCCCAAGUCCCCGUGAAUGUCGGCCGUAACUAUAACGGUCCUAAGGUAGCGAAAUUCCUUGUCGGGUAAGUUCCGACCUGCACGAAUCGUGCAACGACCGGUCCGCUGUCUCGGAGAGAAUCUCGGCGAAGUUGUAAUUGCGGUGAAGAUGCCGCAUACCCGCAGUAGGACGGAAAGACCCUGUGCACCUUUACUGUAAGCAAGUAUUGUGUUCUGAUUAGUGAUGCGUAGCGUAGGUGGGAGACUUUGAAGUGAUGGCUUAGGUUGUCAUGGAGUCAUAAUGUGAAACACCACUCUUUAUUAAUUAGGAUUCUAACACUGAUUCCUCUGAAGCGAGGCAGUGGACAGUGCUUGCGGGUGAGUUUGACUGGGGCGGUUUCCUACCAAAGAGUAACGGG